Molecule: ribosomal RNA, 520 nt
Filed under: uncultured Glomus
Lineage: Eukaryota; Fungi; Glomeromycota; Glomeromycetes; Glomerales; Glomeraceae
Description: SSU rRNA
Rfam family: Eukaryotic small subunit ribosomal RNA
Source: RNAcentral
AGCAGCCGCGGUAAUUCCAGCUCCAAUAGCGUAUAUUAAAGUUGUUGCAGUUAAAAAGCUCGUAGUUGAAUUUCGGGGUUAGUAGGUUGGUCGUGCCACUGGUACGUACUGGUCUCACUGAUUCCUCCUUCCUGAUGAACUGUAAUGCCAUUAAUUUGGUGUUGCAGGGAAACUGGACUGUUACUUUGAAAAAAUUUAGAGUGUUUAAAGCAAGCUAACGCUUGAAUACAUUAGCAUGGAAUAAUGAAAUAGGACGUUCGAUCCUAUUUUGUUGGUUUCUAGGAUUGACGUAAUGAUUAAUAGGGAUAGUUGGGGGCAUUAGUAUUCAAUUGUCAGAGGUGAAAUUCUUGGAUUUAUUGAAGACUAACUAUUGCGAAAGCAUUUGCCAAGGAUGUUUUCAUUAAUCAAGAACGAAAGUUAGGGGAUCGAAGACGAUCAGAUACCGUCGUAGUCUUAACCAUAAACUAUGCCGACUAGGGAUCGGAUGAUGUUAAUUUUUUCAAUGACUCAUUCGGCGCCU